Amphibalanus amphitrite is the source of this 998-nucleotide long non-coding RNA. RefSeq lists it as uncharacterized. The transcript has 3 exons. The record is from RefSeq and is a predicted model, not a curated record. Lineage: Eukaryota; Metazoa; Arthropoda; Thecostraca; Balanomorpha; Balanidae.
UAUCAUGAAAACGGUUAUUCGCAGACAUUUGAUUGUAGACAUUUGAUCGAUGUAAUUUUCGACCUAAAAGAGAGGAAAAGCCGUCUUGGUUUACGGGGCCUGCUAAGCUGUGAGGAUGAGGACACGCAUACGCCAUUACUUUGAACGAACGUUGGUGCCCUUAUUUCAUGAGGUAAAAACAACUUUGACAACUUUCAGGAUCUAUGUUUCUUCUCGCACUGCUGUGGCAUAAACAUUACGUUUUCUUUCUUCUGUCAUCACUCAUCGCAUUGAAAUUACAAAAGCAUCAAAAUUUCAACAACACACUGCUUACGACUUAGAAGUGUCGCCUCAACGCAGCGAGGGGAGGGGAGGGAGGGGUAGCAACGGCCGGCCGCCGUCGGUUCCGUCCGCACAUCUGGUUGGGGGCGUCUCCUGUCGCCAUCUGUCAUCGUGAAUGGGGCCGUGCCGACGCGUCAGACGGGACGAACGGGGGAAGUCGGUCCAGAGUCACUGCGCCGCGCGGUUGUGUGAGCAAGCCGUGGGCUAGGUACCGCUCCAGGUCAGACCAUGGUUGGCACUGAAGAGUGCGGCGACACUACAGAGCUGUGAACGAAGACGGUGAACGGCGAGAUGUGGUGACCGCUUGACUGACCUGUGCCCAAAGUAGUGAUCUACCGCUGGGGUCAGUGCGUGAGAAGCUGGACUCGGCACCAACGGAGGACGCAGCUCGACGAGGAAUAUAUGCUGUGUUGAGGGACGUCUGCCGGUUACGACCGGAAGGUUUCCGACGGGACUUGGCAGAACCCACAACAGCAGUAUGAACCCGGCGUGGAUGUAAUUGCUCGCAUGAGCAACCGAAGAGCGAUUUCCAGGCGAAGCUGCCGCAGAAUUCCUGGAGAUGCGCUGGGACAUGGAUCAUAGCAAAGUGGCUCUCAGCGGCAGCUGACCGCUGAGAUGUGUCUGAAACAGCUAGAAGGAAGACUCGAGUUGUGGAUCCAGGGCACUUCUGAACGGAA